RNAcentral lists this ribosomal RNA (1425 nucleotides) under uncultured marine bacterium 578. RNAcentral describes it as "bacterial SSU rRNA". It matches the Rfam family "Bacterial small subunit ribosomal RNA". The record is from RNAcentral.
AGUUUGAUCCUGGCUCAGAUUGAACGCUGGCGGUAUGCUUAACACAUGCAAGUCGAACGGAAACGAUACUAGCUUGCUAGUAGGCGUCGAGUGGCGGACGGGUGAGUAACGCGUAGGAAUCUGCCUGAUAGUGGGGGAUAGCCCGAAGAAAUUCGGAUUAAUACCGCAUAAUCUAUUCGUAGUAAAGUGGGGGACUUUCGAGCCUCACGCUAUCAGAUGAGCCUGCGUAAGAUUAGCUAGUUGGUAGGGUAAAAGCCUACCAAGGCAACGAUCUUUAGCUGGUCUGAGAGGAUGAUCAGCCACAUCGGGACUGAGACACGGCCCGAACUCCUACGGGAGGCAGCAGUGGGGAAUAUUGGACAAUGGGGGCAACCCUGAUCCAGCAAUACCGCGUGUGUGAAGAAGGCCUGAGGGUUGUAAAGCACUUUCAAUUGUGAAGAAAAGUUAACGGUUAAUAACCGUUAGCCUUGACGUUAACUUUAGAAGAAGCACCGGCUAACUCCGUGCCAGCAGCCGCGGUAAUACGGAGGGUGCAAGCGUUAAUCGGAAUUACUGGGCGUAAAGCGUGCGUAGGCGGUUUAUUAAGUCAGAUGUGAAAGCCCCGGGCUUAACCUGGGAACUGCAUUUGAAACUGGUCAACUAGAGUAUGGUAGAGGAAAGUGGAAUUUCUGGUGUAGCGGUGAAAUGCGUAGAUAUCAGAAGGAACAUCAAUGGCGAAGGCAGCUUUCUGGACCAAUACUGACGCUGAGGUACGAAAGCGUGGGUAGCAAACAGGAUUAGAUACCCUGGUAGUCCACGCCGUAAACGAUGAUAACUAGCCGUUGGGGGGAUUUACCCUUUAGUGGCGAAGCUAACGCGUUAAGUUAUCCGCCUGGGGAGUACGGCCGCAAGGUUAAAACUCAAAGGAAUUGACGGGGACCCGCACAAGCGGUGGAGCAUGUGGUUUAAUUCGAUGCAACGCGAAGAACCUUACCUGGUCUUGACAUCCUGCGAACUUUCUAGAAAUAGAUUGGUGCCUUCGGGAACGCAGUGACAGGUGCUGCAUGGCUGUCGUCAGCUCGUGUCGUGAGAUGUUGGGUUAAGUCCCGUAACGAGCGCAACCCCUAUCCUUAUUUGCCAGCACGUCAUGGUGGGAACUAUAAGGAGACUGCCGGUGAUAAACCGGAGGAAGGCGGGGACGACGUCAAGUCAUCAUGGCCCUUACGACCAGGGCUACACACGUGCUACAAUGGGAAGGACAAAGAGCCGCGAAGCCGCGAGGUGUAGCUAAUCUCAGAAACCUUUUCGUAGUCCGGAUUGGAGUCUGCAACUCGACUCCAUGAAGUCGGAAUCGCUAGUAAUCGUAGAUCAGAAUGCUACGGUGAAUACGUUCCCGGGUCUUGUACACACCGCCCGUCAUACCAUGGGAGUGGGUUGCACCAGAAG